This 305-nucleotide ribosomal RNA is filed under the name uncultured bacterium. RNAcentral describes it as "bacterial SSU rRNA". It matches the Rfam family "Bacterial small subunit ribosomal RNA", at positions 337 to 660 of the family's 1533-position model. The record is from RNAcentral.
CCCUACGGGACGAGCAGUGGGGGAUAUUGGACAAUGGGGGAAACCCUGAUCCAGCGAUGCCGCGUGAGGGAAGAAGGUUUUCGGAUUGUAAACCUCUGUGGAGGGGGACGAUAAUGACGGUACCCCUUUAGGAAGCCACGGCUAACUACGUGCCAGCAGCCGCGGUAAUACGUAGGGGGCAAGCGUUAUCCGGAUUUACUGGGUGUAAAGGGAGCGUAGACGGUACGCCAAGUCUGAAGUGAAAUGCCGCAGCUUAACUGCGGAACUGCUUUGGAAACUGGCGGGCUGGAGUGCGGGAGGGGUAA